ACGGAAGGCAGCAGUGGGGAAUAUUGGGCAAUGGGCGAAAGCCUGACCCAGCGACGCCGCGUGAAGGAAGAAGGUCUUCGGAUUGUAAACUUUUGUCAUCGGGGAAGAAGAAAGUGACGGUACCCGAUAAGAAAGCCACGGCUAACUACGUGCCAGCAGCCGCGGUAAUACGUAGGUGGCGAGCGUUAUCCGGAUUUACUGGGUGUAAAGGGUGUGUAGGCGGACCGACAAGUCAGGUGUGAAAUCCAUUGGCUUAACCAAUGAACUGCACUUGAAACUGUAGGCCUUGAGAGUCGGAGAGGUAAGCGGAAUUCCUAGUGUAGCGGUGAAAUGCGUAGAUAUUAGGAGGAACACCAGUGGCGAAGGCGGCUUACUGGACGACAACUGACGCUGAGACACGAAAGCGUGGGGAGCAAACAGGAUUAGAUACCCUGGUA
Molecule: ribosomal RNA, 437 nt
Filed under: uncultured Oscillospiraceae bacterium
Lineage: Bacteria; Bacillati; Bacillota; Clostridia; Eubacteriales; Oscillospiraceae
Description: bacterial SSU rRNA
Rfam family: Bacterial small subunit ribosomal RNA
Source: RNAcentral